GACGAACGCUGGCGGCGUGCUUAACACAUGCAAGUCGAACGCUGAAGCUCAGCUUUUGUUGGGUGGAUGAGUGGCGAACGGGUGAGUAACACGUGAGUAACCUGCCUCCUUCUUUGGGAUAACGCCCGGAAACGGGUGCUAAUACUGGAUAUUCACUGGUCUUCGCCUUGGGGUUGGUGGAAAGGGUUUUUCUGGUGGGGGAUGGGCUCGCGGCCUAUCCGCUUGUUGGUGGGGUGAUGGCCUACCAAGGCUUUGACGGGUAGACGGCCUGAGAGGGUGACCGGGCACAUUGGGACUGAGAUACGGCCCAGACUACUACGGGAGGCAGAAGUGGGGAAUAUUGCACAAUGGGCGCAAGACUGAUGCAGCGACGCCGCGUGAGGGAUGGAGGCCUUCGGGUUGUGAACCUCUUUCGCUAAUGGUCAAGCCGCAACAAUGGUUGUGGUGAGGGUAGUGGGUAAAGAAGCGCCGGCUAACUACGUG
This 483-nucleotide ribosomal RNA is filed under the name uncultured bacterium. Its description in RNAcentral is "partial 16S ribosomal RNA". It matches the Rfam family "Bacterial small subunit ribosomal RNA", at positions 28 to 507 of the family's 1533-position model. The record is from RNAcentral.